CAGAGCGAGGAGGAGGUGGAUCGGGGCAGUGUAAAUAGCCACUCAUUGGGGGCCUCCCACGCGCCGCGGACUGGGGAGCCUAGGUGCGGCCCUGCUGUGGCUCGGCUCAAAAUGUAGAACGCCACUUAAAAAUAGGCCAGGAAGUGAUCCAUGUUAGGAGUCGUACUGGGGAGGAUCAUUCGCUGGUCUCCUCUCGCGUGUCACAUGGUCUGGUGUGUCGAGUUGUUCAUCAUAAUGUAAAUUAUGCAGUGUUCCCGUAGAAACAGAAACAGGGCAUUGCAAAGAGAGCACUGAGAUCAUGCUGACAUAACUUUCUGUGCAACAAGAAACUUAUCUCAGCCUAGCAUAAGUGAGGAAGUAAGUGUUUACUGAAACAUGGAGGUCCCCGCCUUCAUCUUGUCCCUAGUCCUGCUGGCCCUGCUCCUGGCGGCGCCUUCCCAGUCGGUGCCCAAAUCUUAUUUUUAUCGCUAUGGGGAGGACGCCGGGGACUCGCCCCUGCCAGACGAGGAUGAAGUCUCCUCCCCGGAAAUAGGACUGAGAGUUCCCGUCGUCUUCUUCGGUCGAAUCUACCAGUCGAUAUUCGUCAACAGCAAUGGAUUUGUGUCCUUUGUGACAGAGAUACCAAACUUCUUUAACGUUCAGUUUCCACUGGAAUACCCAGUCAUUGCACCUUUCUACUCUGAUGUAGAUACCAGGUCAUCUGGAACAAUAUGGUACAGAGAGACAUCAGACCCUGGCACAAUGACUCGUAGCAAGGAUGAGUUGCAGCAACACUUCAGCAGUGCUGCAGACUUCACUCCAACUGGUGCCUUCAUUGUGACCUGGGACAAAGUGGGCCCAUAUAACCAGCGCUCAGACAGGGUCAACACUUAUCAGCUUGUUUUGAUUACUGAUGGUGAGGAGACAUACAUCCUUUUGCACUAUGCAGACGGCGGCAUCCAGUGGUUGUUGGGUGAUGGCAAGAACCCCAGUCUGCCAGAUGCUCGUGGUCAGGCUGGCUUGAUGUCUGGGGACGGCAGGCACUUCGUGCUCAAGGGCUCUGGCACUGAUCAAGUGAGAAGCCUUGACAAGUGGAGUAAUAGUGGCAACUCAGGGGUCUGGAUGUAUCGUGUUGGACAACUGAGUUUGAGUGAGAAUGCACAGGAGCCAGACAUUGGUGUGGAUAGUGCAGUUGGUGAAGAUACAAUGCAGUCUUGUGCUGUGGGUGGCUCUUUGUGCCACUCUGAUGCUGUAUGUGUUGAUUAUACCCCAGGAUUCUGUUGCAAGUGUGGAGACAAUUAUUUAGGAAACGGCAUCAACUGCAUCCCUAAAGGGGAACCCAUAAGAGUAACUGGAAGGGUGAUUGGAAAUCUCAAUGGAAUCAAAUUAGAAGAAUUGGACCUUCAUUCCUAUGUAUUAACAAAGGAAGGUCGCAGUUACACAGCCAUCUCAAGAGUCCCAUCACAAAUAGGAUAUGAUCUGCAGAGUAUUACAGCCAUUGGCACUGGCAUUGCUUGGCUCUUUGCAAGUCCAGUAAACAAUGUGAAGAAUGGUUUUCAUAACACAGGAGGUAAGUUCAACCGCACUGUGGAGGUGGACUUCCCACAGACAGGCCAUCGAGUGGAGGUGCAACAACAGUUUCAGGGUCUAGAUGUCUUCAACUAUGUGCAGGUGAAGACUCAGAUUACUGGCUCAAUUCCAACAAUUUCAGUGGGCUCUGAGAUUGAGAUGGAUGCAUUUAAUGAAGAAUAUACAAGAGUAAAACCUGGUCAGUUGAGAGCAAGAUCAGGUCGAGUAUUCCGACUCAAGGGGCAGACCAUUGACACACCAUUUACUGUGGAGACUACAAUUGACUUUGAUGAGUGUGAAUGGAAGAACCUGGAUGAUGGGGAUCUAGAGACUUUGAGGCUCAAGGUUUCUGGUAACAUCUUCAUCCAGUAUGAUGCCACAGAGGAGAUUGUUCGAUAUGCACUUUCAGCAAAAUUGGCUCCUCUUGAGGAAAUUGAUCCCUGUGUAGAGGGACGGCAAGAGUGUGGUGAAAACAGUCAGUGCGUUGUUGAUGGUGACACUUUUAGGUGUGUGUGUGAACGUGGUUAUGAAGAAGUCUAUGAUGCUACACUGAACAAAGGAAUUUGCCUGGAUCUCAAUGAAUGCAGCACCAGUCGAGACAACUGUCAUACCCAUGCCAUCUGUAAGAAUACUCCGGGCAGCUUCAUUUGCUCAUGUAAGCCUGACUUCACCGGAGAUGGGGUCAACUGUGAGAGAGUGGGAACUUGUGGCGGCAUCCCAUGUGAUCCCAAUGCAGUGUGUGAGCUGCACCUUAAUGAGCCUCAGUGUAUUUGUCGGCCAGGCUUUGUUGGGGAUGGCCUCAUCUGCACCAAGGGGACUGAGAUAUCUUUGGUGGAUCAGCCGAGGACAUGCGUUGAUUAUGAUAUUUGUAGCCCCUACGCUGAUUGUGUCUAUGAUGACACCGUACGUAGCUUUCAGUGUGUCUGCCUUCCGGGAUACAAUGGAGAUGGACAGACAUGUCAACCGAGUGAGAGUUGUAAAACAGCCAGAAACUGUUCCCCAUAUGGUGUGUGUACCAAAGUUGAGAAUGAGUAUAGGUGUGAGUGUUUGCCUGGCUUCACUGGUGAUGGCUAUGUGUGUGAGGGGGAAGACUUAAGGACUCCUUACAAUCCCGAGGAUCCAGAACACCCUUAUAAACUUGGAGAACCUCAGGAACCAUAUCAGCCUCUGGAUCCCCAAGACCCAUAUCAACCACUGGAGCCUCAGGACCCAUAUCAACCACUGGAACCCCAAGACCCAUAUCAACCACUGGAGCCUCAGGACCCAUAUCAACCACUGGAACCCCAAGACCCAUAUCAACCACUGGAGCCUCAGGACCCAUAUCAACCACUGGAACCCCAAGACCCAUAUCAACGACCAGAACCCAUAGAUCCAUAUCAGCCAUCAGAUCACCAAGAUCCAUAUCAGCAACCAAGACCCCAAGAUCCAUACCAGCCUCAAGAUCCAUACCAGCCCCAAGACCCAUAUCAACCAUUGAGGCCAUAUCAGCCACAAGAACCUGAGGAACCAUAUCACCCAGACCAGCCUCAGCAGCCAUGGCAGCCUGAGAUUAUAGAACCUGAAUGUCUCAGUGGAGCAUGUUGGUGCCCUCUGGGUUACACUCUUAACCUGGAGUUCAAUCAAUGUGAGCUGAAAGGUGCAGUCAUAUCAUCAGAGGGAGAUGAAAAACUAGAGGUGCCAGAACCAUACUGUGGUGCUGCUAAGUGUACCUGUCCAAAAGGCUUCGAGUAUGAUCCCACCAGACACACCUGCAAGCUGCAGGUGGCAGAAUCACACUCAGAUGGGGACUUAUUGGCCCAGCCCUUACCUGGGUGUUUCAUGGGCAAGUGUUCCUGUCCCUGGGGUUACUUCUAUGACUACAGUCAACAUGCAUGCCUAGCCAAUAACACUUCAGGCUACAACUAUAACAUUCAAGGAGGAGGUUCAGAACAAACAGUCUCUUGUCAUGAUGUGAAUCGCUGCCACCCCAAUGCUCAGUGUACAUACAACAGCUAUACACAGCAGUACUCAUGUCAAUGUAAUGCUGGAUAUGGUGGAGAUGGAUACCACUGCAGUAAAUUGGAUGUGUCAUGUGAUCAUGUGGAUAUCUGUCACAUCCAUGCUCACUGUGUGUUUGAUGACCAGACACUCCAGCAUGUCUGUGUGUGCAGCACAGGCUAUGAGGGUGAUGGUAUAGUGUGCACACCACAAGAUGAAUGCAGCAGUGUUGUCGACUGUAAUAUCAAUGCCCAGUGCUUGUAUGACAGCUCCAGCCAACGAUAUAAGUGUGUCUGUAAUGCUGGCUAUGAAGGAGAUGGCCACAUUUGUACCACUUCAGGAGAGGCAAGCUGUAACAUUGUCAACAAUUGUGAUGUUAAUGCCAAUUGCAUCUAUGACACAUAUGCACUGAGUUACCGCUGCCAGUGUCAUGAUGGCUAUGAAGGAGAUGGUCUUUUCUGUUCACCAGCUCAGGUUGGCUGCAAUGUGCUCCAGAACUGUGGAGAAAAUGCUGUGUGUUCAUACAACAUAGAGGCUCGCGGAUAUCGAUGCAAGUGUCAGGAAGGUUAUGAGGGAGAUGGAUUCUUCUGCAAGCCCACAAGGUCCUGCCAGCUGGACCCGUCACUGUGCCACCCUCAGGCUGUGUGUGUGUCCGACUCACAGUCUUCAUUUGGAUUUUCAUGUCGCUGUCAAGAAGGCUUUACUGGUGACGGGCAUCAUUGUCUUGAGGCAGUGAAUCAUGAGAAAGACAUUCUGCUCUUCAAUCAAGGGUUGGCAGUCUUGCGAAUGCCUGUCAACCCACGAGGAGGAAGGAGUUACAUCAUACACUUUGAGGCAUUCAUGACAGCUGUAGGUGCAGAUAUAGACUGCUUAGCAGGCCGCUUCUACUGGACAGAUGUGCGAUCAUCUUCCAUCAGGUCAUCUAAGUAUGAUGGCACUCAGCGCCAACCAACAGUCAUUCAAGUUGCAUUUUUCAGGUAACAUUGGAUUCCCUGAAGAUGUUGCAGUUGACUGGAUUUCUAAGAAUGUAUACUGGACAGAUUCAGCAAAUGAUGUUGUGUCUGUAGCUUCCAUUAGAGAUGGAAAGCAACGUACCAUUAUCAAAGAAGGACUUGUCAACCCUCGAGGUAUUGCCGUCCAUCCAGGCCUUGGGCUUCUGUUUUGGAGUGACUGGAAUCGACUUUCUCCAAAAAUUGAAUCAUCUGGAUUGGAUGGAUCUGAUCGUCAGGUGAUUGUGUCCGAAGAUAUUUCAUUGCCUAAUUCUUUGGUUGUGGACUAUGAAACUGAUACCCUCUGCUGGGCUGAUGCUGGAACUCAUAAAAUAGAGUGUGUGAGUGUGCGGGGUGGUGGCCGCCGAGUGGUGUCAAGUGGCCCUCUGUAUCCAUUUGGUCUCACCAUAUUGGGUCAGAACUUUUUCUAUACUGACUGGAAUGACACUAAAAUCCACACUGUGAACCGUUACUCUGGAGUGGAAUCUGCCUCCCGCGCCCCACCUCCAGGAGGCUCAGGAAAGCUGUAUGGAAUAGCAGCAGUUCCUGCAUCAUGUCCACCAGUAUCCAAUUUCUGUGCUUUGGAUGAUGGUGGAUGCCCCUCCUCUCACCUAUGUCUACCCAAUGGCAAUGGGGGACGCACUUGUGCCUGCACUGACCUUACUCUCCAAGAUGAGGGCUCUCGUUGUUCAGACUUUAGCUACUGAACAUUCCCUCUCUGAAAAGAUGUUGUAGUUAAUGUAUGUUUCAUUUUUCUUCCUAAGCUGCCAAACUAUAUUUUUCUCAUAACUCACUUUACCAAAAACCCCUUGAGGAUAAUUUUUAUAACUAAUCAUUAUAGAUCAUAAAUUUUCAUAAUCAGCACACCACUUAGUCCAAGAUUUAUCAGCAUUACCUUCAUUAAUAUGUACUACAUGACCAUUUGGAAUUGUCUGCUAUUUGUAGUGGCCAGAUGAUGAAUACAUUACAUUGUGUACAGUGCUUUCUGAAUGCAUAGUAGAUUAUGCCAUAGUGUAUAAGGAGAAUUAAGUGGAGACCCAUACCUAUUAUCUGUUUGCAGAUUAGAAGCUCAAGGUCAUCCACUUGUCAUGUGAAAUUAAUUUAAUGUCACUUUUGAACUUGUAAAUUAGAAAUGAUUCAUACUGUAGUGUAUUUAAAGUUUUUAGUUGUUUUCUUCCUCUAAUAAAUAAAUUAAUGAAA
This is an RNA transcript of Scylla paramamosain (green mud crab), 5714 nucleotides long. It is a transcript of the gene named nidogen-like, with no coding region annotated. The record is from RefSeq and is a predicted model, not a curated record. The transcript is spliced from 31 exons. NCBI's taxonomy places the organism in Eukaryota, Metazoa, Arthropoda, Malacostraca, Decapoda, Portunidae.